This 465-nucleotide ribosomal RNA is filed under the name uncultured bacterium. RNAcentral describes it as "partial 16S ribosomal RNA". It matches the Rfam family "Bacterial small subunit ribosomal RNA", at positions 28 to 507 of the family's 1533-position model. The record is from RNAcentral.
GACGAACGCUGGCGGCGUGCUUAACACAUGCAAGUCGAACGGAAAGGCCCUGCUUGCAGGGUACUCGAGUGGCGAACGGGUGAGUAACACGUGGGUGAUCUGCCCUGCACUUCGGGAUAAGCCUGGGAAACUGGGUCUAAUACCGGAUAGGAGCCAUUUUUAGUGUGAUGGUUGGAAAGUUUUUUCGGUGUAGGAUGAGCUCGCGGCCUAUCAGCUUGUUGGUGGGGUAAUGGUCUACCAAGGCGGCGACGGGUAGCCGGCCUGAGAGGGUGGACGGCCACAUUGGGACUGAGAUACGGCCCAGACUCCUACCGGAGGCAGCAGUGGGGAAUAUUGCACAAUGGGCGCAAGCCUGAUGCAGCGACGCCGCGUGGGGGAUGACGGCCUUCGGGUUGUAAACUCCUUUCGCUAGGGACGAAGCUUUUUGUGACGGUACCUAGAUAAGAAGCACCGGCUAACUACGUG